ACUCCUACGGGAGGCAGCAGUGAGGAAUAUUGGACAAUGGGCGCAAGCCUGAUCCAGCCAUGCCGCGUGAGUGAAGAAGGCCUUCGGGUUGUAAAGCUCCUUUGUCAGGGAAGAAAAGGCUAUGGAUAAUACCUGUGGCUCAUGACGGUACCUGAAGAAUAAGCACCGGCUAACUACGUGCCAGCAGCCGCGGUAAU
RNAcentral lists this ribosomal RNA (197 nucleotides) under uncultured bacterium. RNAcentral describes it as "partial 16S ribosomal RNA". It matches the Rfam family "Bacterial small subunit ribosomal RNA", at positions 335 to 524 of the family's 1533-position model. The record is from RNAcentral.